RNAcentral lists this transfer RNA (73 nucleotides) under Petromyzon marinus (sea lamprey). RNAcentral describes it as "tRNA-Val (AAC) (tRNA-Val-AAC-52-1)". It matches the Rfam family "tRNA". From Rfam's summary of the family: Transfer RNA (tRNA) molecules are approximately 80 nucleotides in length. Their secondary structure includes four short double-helical elements and three loops (D, anti-codon, and T loops). Lineage: Eukaryota; Metazoa; Chordata; Hyperoartia; Petromyzontiformes; Petromyzontidae. The record is from RNAcentral.
GUUUCCGUAGCGUAGUGGUUAUCAUGUUCGCCUAACACGUGAAAGGUCCCUGGUUUGAAGCCGGGUGGAAACA